Molecule: long non-coding RNA, 246 nt
Organism: Dermochelys coriacea (leatherback sea turtle)
Lineage: Eukaryota; Metazoa; Chordata; Testudines; Dermochelyidae
Exons: 3
Source: RefSeq, a predicted model, not a curated record
GUAGCCUCAGUGAAGCAUUUGGUCAGCUUCUUGAGAAAGGACUAUUCUCAGCAAGUGCCCAAUCAAGAAACACUUAACUGACAAUGGACUCUGGGAGACGCCAAUCCACAUCUGAGCUUUCCUGGGGAAGUUCAAACUAACAUGUGAACAAUGGCGUCAGCCUGCAAAAAGCUUAAUCAUUCAUGGACAUGUGACUUGCCCAGGUGCCUACAAACUCCAUCACGUUGCAUUGAUUGUGCACAGGAG